UCCAGAGUAGCUCAAUGGUGGAGCAUUCGGCUGUUAACCGACAGGUUGGAGGUUCGAGUCCUCUCUCUGGAGCCA
RNAcentral lists this transfer RNA (75 nucleotides) under Natronincola peptidivorans. RNAcentral describes it as "tRNA_Asn_GTT". It matches the Rfam family "tRNA". From Rfam's summary of the family: Transfer RNA (tRNA) molecules are approximately 80 nucleotides in length. Their secondary structure includes four short double-helical elements and three loops (D, anti-codon, and T loops). Further hydrogen bonds mediate the characteristic L-shaped molecular structure. tRNAs have two regions of fundamental functional importance: the anti-codon, which is responsible for specific mRNA codon recognition, and the 3' end, to which the tRNAs corresponding amino acid is attached (by aminoacyl-tRNA synthetases). tRNAs cope with the degeneracy of the genetic code in two manners: having more than one tRNA (with a specific anti-codon) for a particular amino acid; and 'wobble' base-pairing, i.e. permitting non-standard base-pairing at the 3rd anti-codon position. The record is from RNAcentral. Lineage: Bacteria; Bacillati; Bacillota; Clostridia; Peptostreptococcales; Natronincolaceae. RNAcentral also lists the same sequence under 1 other name.